Molecule: small RNA, 326 nt
Filed under: Pongo abelii (Sumatran orangutan)
Lineage: Eukaryota; Metazoa; Chordata; Mammalia; Primates; Hominidae
Description: processed transcript
Source: RNAcentral
UCUGUCAUUGGAUAGAUCCUAAGUGAAAUUAGAUAUAAAAGAGAAAUGAAUUGAAUUUACUGGACAACAUUCUUCAGAUCUGCCGGGACAUAUUUUCAUUUUCUUAAGCAUCUCAACAUCUUUUGUGAAAAGGGAGAAUGUGGAUGUCACUGGCUUUCACUUCACGUUUUAGGUCAGCGCUGCUUUUGGGGUGAAAGAAGACCAUCAGUAAACCUCAGCCUUGCCGCCAGGACUCCCCCGUCUUCUGCCGGAGUCCGCCGGUCCGCAGCCUGCGGCAGGGAGGCCCGGGCACCCGCAGGUGGCGCCCCACGUCCGUGUUUGCGCCC